RNAcentral lists this ribosomal RNA (465 nucleotides) under Vreelandella stevensii. Its description in RNAcentral is "partial 16S ribosomal RNA". It matches the Rfam family "Bacterial small subunit ribosomal RNA", at positions 338 to 795 of the family's 1533-position model. The record is from RNAcentral. Lineage: Bacteria; Pseudomonadati; Pseudomonadota; Gammaproteobacteria; Oceanospirillales; Halomonadaceae.
CCUACGGGGGGCUGCAGUGGGGAAUAUUGGACAAUGGGGGCAACCCUGAUCCAGCCAUGCCGCGUGUGUGAAGAAGGCCCUCGGGUUUUAAAGCACUUUCAGUGAGGAAGAACGCCUGGUGGUUAAUACCCAUCAGGAAAGACAUCACUCACAGAAGAAGCACCGGCUAACUCCGUGCCAGCAGCCGCGGUAAUACGGAGGGUGCGAGCGUUAAUCGGAAUUACUGGGCGUAAAGCGCGCGUAGGUGGCUUGAUAAGCCGGUUGUGAAAGCCCCGGGCUCAACCUGGGAACGGCAUCCGGAACUGUCAAGCUAGAGGGCAGGAGAGGAAGGUAGAAUUCCCGGUGUAGCGGUGAAAUGCGUAGAGAUCGGGAGGAAUACCAGUGGCGAAGGCGGCCUUCUGGACUGACACUGACACUGAGGUGCGAAAGCGUGGGUAGCAAACAGGAUUAGAUACCCUAGUAGUC